This 2352-nucleotide non-coding RNA is filed under the name Rhombophryne mangabensis. RNAcentral describes it as "partial contains 12S ribosomal RNA, tRNA-Val, and 16S ribosomal RNA". The stretch from base 1 to 917 matches the Rfam family "Bacterial small subunit ribosomal RNA". The record is from RNAcentral. Lineage: Eukaryota; Metazoa; Chordata; Amphibia; Anura; Microhylidae.
GUUUGGUCCUAGCUUUACCAUCAUCUACUACUCAACCUACACAUGCAAGUAUCCGCACACCCGUGAGAACGCCCUCACCCCCCUCCACCAGGAAGAGGAGCCGGUAUCAGGCACAAGACAUUGCCCAUGACACCUAGCCACGCCACGCCCCCAAGGGUAUUCAGCAGUGAUAAACAUUGUUCAUUAGCGCCAGCUUGACCCAGUUAGAGUAAAACAGAGCCGGCCAAUGCGGUGCCAGCAGCCGCGGCUACACCGCUAGGCUCAAGUUGAUGUCACCGGCGUUAAGCGUGAUUAAAGUAACACCACCCAUUAGAAUUAAACCACUACACAGUUGUUAAAUGCUGGUUCUCGAGGAAACUCACAGACGAAAGUUAUUCUAAUUAAUACUUGAACCCACGACAGUUGGGACCCAAACUGGGAUUUGACACCCUACUAUGCCCUACCGUAAAACAUCUACUCACACUAAAAACCGCCAGGGAAUUACGAGCCCCCUUAAAACCCAAAGGACUUGACGGUGUCCCACCCAACUAGAGGAGCCUGUUCUAUAAUCGAUAAUCCCCGAUACACCCUACCACCCCUAGCAUACAUCAGUCUGUAUACCUCCGUCGCCAGCCCACCAUAUGAACGUACAUCAGUGGGUUCAAUGAAUCUUUCGCAACCAUUAACACGUCAGGUCAAGGUGCAACUAACGGAGUGGAAAGCAAUUGGCUACAAUCUCUACAAUAGAGCACACGAAAAACUCGGCAUGCAACACAGUUAUGAAGGUGGAUUUAGCAGUAAAAAGAAAAUAGAGAGUUCUUUUUAACUCGGCUCUGGGACGCGUACACACCGCCCGUCGCCCUCUUCAAGGUAGCACAAGAAGAGGUAAGUCGUAACACGGUAAGUGUACUGGAAGGUGCACUUGGACAAUCAAAAUGUAGCUUACCUAAAGUAUCUCGCCUACACCGAGGUGGACGUCAUUAAACAGACCAUUUUGAGCUAAAAUUCAAGGCCCCUCCCACACACAAAUACACAAAGAAACAAAACAAAACAUUUUUUCAAUUAAGUAGCGGCGAUCAAAAAAUAACUAGGAGCCAUAAAAACAGUACCGCAAGGGAAAUAUGAAAUAAAAAUGAAAACCAAAGCACAAUACAGCAAAGAUUAAAUCUUGUACCUUUUGCAUCAUGGUCUAGCCAGUCUAACCAAGCAAAACGCACUUAAAGUUUGACCCCCCGAAACUAGACGAGCUACUUUCGAACAGCACAAGCCAACCCGUCCCUGUAGCAAAAGGGUGGGAAGAUUCUAAAGUAGAGGCGACACACCUAUCGAGCCUAGAGAUAGCUGGUUAUUCAGAAAAAGGAUUUAAGUCCAACUUUAAGUUUUCCCACAGUAACACUAAACACACCAACAACUUAAAAGUCACUCAAAUAAGGUACAGCCUAUUUGAACAAGGAGACAACCUACAAUGCAGGGUAAUGACUCAUCUCAGUGACUAAGUAGGCCUAAAAGCAGCCAACUUCCAAAAAGCGUCUAAGCUCCAUCACCGUACAUCACUAAUCCCAUCAUUAACACGCAACCCGCAACCACUACUGAAUAAUCCCAUACCCCAAUAUGGGAGAUAUUAUGCUAGAACUAGUAACAAGAAGAAGCACUUCUCCAAAAUGCAAGCGUAAGCCAAAAUGAACCACCACCGGCACUUACCGUUCCCCAACAGUACUAACUCCCCCCCCCAAGAAAACCCUACUGUCCAACAACGUCAACCUUACACCAGAGCAUUACUGGAAAGAUUAAAAGAAGGGGAAGGAACUCGGCAAAUACCAGCCCCGCCUGUUUACCAAAAACAUCGCCUCUUGACACCCCACAAUAUAAGAGGUCUAGCCUGCCCGGUGACAUAGUUAAACGGCCGCGGUACCCUGACCGUGCGAAGGUAGCAAAAUCACUUGUUCUUUAAAUCAGGACCAGUAUCAAUGGCCUCACGAGGGCUAAACUGUCUCCCCCCUCUAAUCAGUGAAACUGAUCUCCUCGUGAAGAAGCGAGGAUAUCGAAAUAAGACGAGAAGACCCCAUGGAACUUUAAACUCGUACCACUGCCCUAAAUACACCACUAAGACCCGGGCACAAUGGCUACUAGUCUUUCGGCUGGGGCGACCGAGGAGAAAAAUCAAACCUCCACGAUGAACGGGGACACCCCUAAUCCCAGAAUUACCAUUCCAAGAAUCAAUAAAUUGACACCAUUGACCCAAAUACAUUGAUCAACGAACCAAGCUACCCUGGGGAUAACAGCGCAAUCCACUUCAAGAGCCCCCAUCGACAAGUGGGCUUACGACCUCGAUGUUGGAUCAGGGCAUCCCGAUGGUGCAGCCGCUAUCAAGGG